This 1310-nucleotide ribosomal RNA is filed under the name Salmonella enterica subsp. enterica serovar Weltevreden. Its description in RNAcentral is "partial 23S ribosomal RNA". It matches the Rfam family "Bacterial large subunit ribosomal RNA", at positions 161 to 1394 of the family's 2925-position model. Lineage: Bacteria; Pseudomonadati; Pseudomonadota; Gammaproteobacteria; Enterobacterales; Enterobacteriaceae. The record is from RNAcentral.
AAUCCAUAGGUUAAUGAGGCGAACCGGGGGAACUGAAACAUCUAAGUACCCCGAGGAAAAGAAAUCAACCGAGAUUCCCCCAGUAGCGGCGAGCGAACGGGGAGGAGCCCAGAGCCUGAAUCAGCAUGUGUGUUAGUGGAAGCGUCUGGAAAGGCGCGCGAUACAGGGUGACAGCCCCGUACACAAAAGCGCAUGUGCUGUGAGCUCGAUGAGUAGGGCGGGACACGUGGUAUCCUGUCUGAAUAUGGGGGGACCAUCCUCCAAGGCUAAAUACUCCUGACUGACCGAUAGUGAACCAGUACCGUGAGGGAAAGGCGAAAAGAACCCCGGCGAGGGGAGUGAAAAAGAACCUGAAACCGUGUACGUACAAGCAGUGGGAGCCCCACCACCAAAGCGUUUCGCUUUGUGUGGUGCACAAAGAAGCGUAACGACAGCACUGAAUGACGGUUAACGGAGCGCAAGCGACGUUCAACAUACAAAGUCAAGCAGUGGAGCGCUUUGGGGUGGGGUGACUGCGUACCUUUUGUAUAAUGGGUCAGCGACUUAUAUUCUGUAGCAAGGUUAACCGAAUAGGGGAGCCGGAGGGAAACCGAGUCUUAACCGGGCGUUAAGUUGCAGGGUAUAGACCCGAAACCCGGUGAUCUAGCCAUGGGCAGGUUGAAGGUUGGGUAACACUAACUGGAGGACCGAACCGACUAAUGUUGAAAAAUUAGCGGAUGACCUGUGGCUGGGGGUGAAAGGCCAAUCAAACCGGGAGAUAGCUGGUUCUCCCCGAAAGCUAUUUAGGUAGCGCCUCGUGAAUUCAUCUCCGGGGGUAGAGCACUGUUUCGGCUAGGGGGCCAUCCCGGCUUACCAACCCGAUGCAAACUGCGAAUACCGGAGAAUGUUAUCACGGGAGACACACGGCGGGUGCUAACGUCCGUCGUGAAGAGGGAAACAACCCAGACCGCCAGCUAAGGUCCCAAAGUCAUGGUUAAGUGGGAAACGAUGUGGGAAGGCCCAGACAGCCAGGAUGUUGGCUUAGAAGCAGCCAUCAUUUAAAGAAAGCGUAAUAGCUCACUGGUCGAGUCGGCCUGCGCGGAAGAUGUAACGGGGCUAAACCAUGCACCGAAGCUGCGGCAGCGACGCUUAUGCGUUGUUGGGUAGGGGAGCGUUCUGUAAGCCUGUGAAGGUGGCCUGUGAGGGUUGCUGGAGGUAUCAGAAGUGCGAAUGCUGACAUAAGUAACGAUAAAGCGGGUGAAAAGCCCGCUCGCCGGAAGACCAAGGGUUCCUGUCCAACGUUAAUCGGGGCAGGGUGAGUCGACCCCUAA